CUGGGACUUCUGUGGUGGCUUGUUAGGAUAAGCCCGUACCUUAUCCACUAGAUCCUUCUCCGGGACUUCUAUGGUGUCUUGCUGGGCCCCAUAGCGGUUCCUCUGGUACAUCACCUGCUCUGCAACCAGCUGCUUCAGGAUGAACAGCAGCAGCUCGUUGUUG
Cygnus olor (mute swan) is the source of this 163-nucleotide long non-coding RNA. RefSeq lists it as uncharacterized. NCBI's taxonomy places the organism in Eukaryota, Metazoa, Chordata, Aves, Anseriformes, Anatidae. The record is from RefSeq and is a predicted model, not a curated record. The transcript has 3 exons.